This 253-nucleotide ribosomal RNA is filed under the name uncultured bacterium. Its description in RNAcentral is "partial 16S ribosomal RNA". It matches the Rfam family "Bacterial small subunit ribosomal RNA", at positions 524 to 776 of the family's 1533-position model. The record is from RNAcentral.
UACGGAGGGUGCAAGCGUUGUCCGGAUUUAUUGGGUUUAAAGGGUGCGUAGGUGGUCUUUUAAGUCGGGCUUGAAAGCCGGCGGCUCAACCGUCGGAUGUGGCUGGAAACUGGGGUUCUGGAAUGGGUUGGCGGCUGCCGGAACGGGUCAUGUAGCGGUGAAAUGCAUAGAUAUGACCCAGAACACCGAUUGCGAAGGCAGGCAGCUACGACCUGAUUGACACUGAGGCACGAGAGCAUGGGUAGCGAACAGG